CUCUAAUAGAAUUUAUUAUUAGUAAGAUCUGCUCAAUGAUAAAUUUUAAUAGCCGCAACUUAUGUUGUGCUAAGGUAGCAUAAUCAUUUGUCUUUUAAUUGUUGACUAGAACGAAAGAUUUAACUUUUUUAUAGCUAUAAAUAAAUAUAAUUUUAAUUUAUUCUAAAUGUUAAAAAACAUUUAUAUGUUAAAAAGACGAUAAGACCCUAUUGAACUUUACUUUAGUUAAACUGGGGCAGUUUAAUAAUUAAAACUUUAUUAUAAUAAAAUUAAAUUAAAAGAUCCAAACCAUUUGAUUAAAUGAUCAAGUUACCAUAGGGAUAACAGCGUAAUAAUUUUUUAAAGAUCUUAUUUAAAAUAAAGUUUGCGACCUCGAUGUUGAAUUAAUAUUCUAUUAAAUGCAAUAAUUUAAUAAGAAAGUCUGUUCGACUUUUAAAUAAUUACAU
Molecule: ribosomal RNA, 446 nt
Filed under: Badumna longinqua
Lineage: Eukaryota; Metazoa; Arthropoda; Arachnida; Araneae; Desidae
Description: partial 16S ribosomal RNA
Source: RNAcentral